GUGAGGAAUAUUGGUCAAUGGGCGGGAGCCUGAACCAGCCAAGUCGCGUGAAGGAAGAAGGAUCUAUGGUUCGUAAACUUCUUUUGCAGGGGAAUAAAGUGCAGGACGUGUCCUGUUUUGUAUGUACCCUGAGAAUAAGGAUCGGCUAACUCCGUGCCAGCAGCCGCGGUAAUACGGAGGAUCCGAGCGUUAUCCGGAUUUAUUGGGUUUAAAGGGUGCGUAGGUGGUUUGAUAAGUCAGCGGUGAAAGUUUGCAGCUUAACUGUAAAAAUGCCGUUGAAACUGUCGGACUUGAGUGUAAAUGAGGUAGGCGGAAUGCGUGGUGUAGCGGUGAAAUGCAUAGAUAUCACGCAGAACUCCGAUUGCGAAGGCAGCUUACUAAGCUACAACUGACACUGAAGCACGAAAGCGUGGGGAUCAAACAGGAUUAGAAACCCUAGUAUCC
RNAcentral lists this ribosomal RNA (444 nucleotides) under uncultured bacterium. RNAcentral describes it as "partial 16S ribosomal RNA". It matches the Rfam family "Bacterial small subunit ribosomal RNA", at positions 354 to 795 of the family's 1533-position model. The record is from RNAcentral.